This is a long non-coding RNA of Monodelphis domestica (gray short-tailed opossum), 1652 nucleotides long. RefSeq lists it as uncharacterized. Lineage: Eukaryota; Metazoa; Chordata; Mammalia; Didelphimorphia; Didelphidae. The record is from RefSeq and is a predicted model, not a curated record.
AGGUCCCAUGUGGAGUGGGAAGCUUAAAAAGGGCCCUAGCCUAGUCUGAGUCUCCAUAGCUCCCUUCACCUUCCUUUUUUUUUUUUUAAAUCAACUCCCUCCCUCCAAUGCCAGGGGGAGGAACAGAUGGUAUCUCUGGGUGUCCUGCCUCUCUCAGUCUCUUUUUCUCCAUUUCUGUCUCUCUGUUCCUCUCUCUGUAUGUGCUUGUGUGUCUGUGUCUUUCAACCAAUCACAGAGACAUGCUCACCCUAAAUCUCCCUUGGCUCUAAUUCUUCCCCUGGUUUUUUUUUAAUGUUAUUUCCUUUAAAAGAAAAGGUUGAAAUGUGUCAAGUGAAGAAAAACUUGCUCCAUUUUUUUUUGAAAGGAAGAGGAAAUGGAGAUUAAGAGAGAAAACUGGAGACAGAGACAGAAACAGAUUCCUGAUCACUCCCAUUCCCUUCUCUCCUUGGGUAAAAUGAAAGGGAAGACCAGAGCAGGGGUUCCCUAAGGAGAGAACGUGUGGUUGGAGGUGCCCACCAAAAAUAACUCCGUGAACAGGGGCACCUGAAAACCUGGAGAGAACAUACUUAGGGAAACAGGAUCAGUGAAAAGAGAAAUUGAAGGAUGUGUAUUUUGGUACAGAUCUAUGUGUGCACAGGUAUGAAAAUAAGUGAAAGUAAGUGUGUGUCAAGUCAUGGAGAUGUCCAAGUUUUGGCACAGGUAAGUGUAAAUGCACUUGUAUGAUUGUGUCUACAAUGGGGUAUGUACCUGUUGGGAUAUGUGUGAUGUGUGUGGCUACUGUAUCUGUAUCACAGUAUAAGAACAGCUGUGCAUGUAUGUGUAUGUGUGCAUGAAUGUGCAAGACAUCCCUGAUUCUGCUCGCCUUUAGGAUUAGUUUGGGCCAGGGAGGGGAGAAAGGGCAGAUGCUUGCCCUGACCCUCUCUCAGCAGCCCUCUAGGGCAGUCAGGAAUGACUCUGUAAGGGUUAGUGGAGCCCAACUACCUGCCCAUCACUUGAAAUUCCAUCUUCUCUACCUUCCAGCCCUUUCUCAGCCCCUUCAUCUUCUUGAAACAGGCUCAGCUCCCAAGGAGGCACACUGCCCCUGGAGUGUUUAGGGCCUGGGGAGGGCUGCUAGCAGUCCAUGUCCAUACCCUUCCCAGAUGGCUGAUGUAUAUGAGCCCGGCUAGGGGACUUCUUCCCAGCCCCCACCCCCACAUACAGUCAAACUGAGAAGCUAGAUACAAACACGAUUAGAGAAGCACACAUGGUCACAUUAAUUCUUCCAUAGUCUCACACACAUGUAAGUAGCAGCACAGAAAUGCAGACAGAGACACACCGAGGCAAAUCUUUCUCUUUCUCUGCUUCUCCCUUGGUUGAAUUUCAUUCAGCCACAUAUGUUGUGUGUGUGUGUGUUGUGUGAGGGUGGGUGGAGGAGGGGCAGAUCCGAAUGAGGACUGGCAUGAUGCCAACACCUACCUAUGGGGCCUGGGCUGGGGACACCCCCUCCCCACCCACUCUGGGACUUCUACCCUGGGAAGGGGGCCUCAGCUGUCCCUUUGUGGCUUGAGAGGGACCCUCUUUGUAGGUGGCAGCAAGAACACAGCCCCGUUUACAUCCCCAGCCCUGAGUCUGGUCCAUGACCCACCUUGGGGGCUUGGGGGGGUGGAUGUGAG